UGAAUGAGUAUUUUUAAGUUAGCAUAUAUGGAUAAAUAUUAAAAGUAUCCGCAGCGAUAUGCAAUUUUGAAGUUAAAAUGGAAGGAAGGAACUCGGCAAAUCUUAGCUUCGCCUGUUUAUCAAAAACAUGGCUCUCUGUUACUUUAAUAUAGGGAGUCGGACCUGCCCAGUGAAAUUUUUUAACGGCCGCGGUACCCUGACCGUGCAAAGGUAGCAUAAUCAUUUGCCUUAUAAUUGAAGGCUUGUAUGAAUGGUUUGACGGGAGCAUUGCUGUCUCCCUCCCAGUAGAUAGAACUUGACCUUUAGGUGAAGAGGCCUAAAUAUAAUUGAAAGACAAGAAGACCCUGUCGAGCUUUAAAAUUAGAUUAGAGGGAAAUAUAAAAUAGCCUAAAUUUAUAGCUAAUUGGUUUUUUGGUUGGGGCGACCGAGGAACAGCAAGAGCUUCCUUUAUCUAAGCUGACUUAUAGGUAUUGAUCCAGCCUAAAGCUGAUUAAAAAAAUUAGUUACCGCAGGGAUAACAGCAUAAUCUCUCUUAAGAGACCAAAUCGAAAGAGGGGGUUGUGACCUCGAUGUUGGACUAGAAUAUCCUGAAGAUGCAGAAGUCUUAA
This 608-nucleotide ribosomal RNA is filed under the name Sulcospira paludiformis. RNAcentral's name for it is "partial large subunit ribosomal RNA". It matches the Rfam family "Archaeal large subunit ribosomal RNA", at positions 1706 to 2636 of the family's 2987-position model. The record is from RNAcentral. Lineage: Eukaryota; Metazoa; Mollusca; Gastropoda; Pachychilidae.